Molecule: ribosomal RNA, 1141 nt
Filed under: Candidatus Synechococcus spongiarum
Lineage: Bacteria; Bacillati; Cyanobacteriota; Cyanophyceae; Synechococcales; Synechococcaceae
Description: bacterial SSU rRNA
Rfam family: Bacterial small subunit ribosomal RNA
Source: RNAcentral
CGCAAGCCUGACGGAGCAACGCCGCGUGAGGGAUGGAGGCCUUUGGGCUGUAAACCUCUUUUCUCAAGGAAGAAGAUCUGACGGUACUUGAGGAAUAAGCCACGGCUAAUUCCGUGCCAGCAGCCGCGGUAAUACGGGAGUGGCAAGCGUUAUCCGGAAUUAUUGGGCGUAAAGCGUCCGCAGGCGGCCGUUUAAGUCUGUUGUUAAAUCGUGGAGCUCAACUCCAUCACGGCAAUGGAAACUGUUCGGCUUGAGUAUGGUAGGGGCAGAGGGAAUUUCCGGUGUAGCGGUGAAAUGCGUAGAUAUCGGGAAGAACACCAGUGGCAAAAGCGCUCUGCUGGGCCAUUACUGACGCUCAUGGACGAAAGCCAGGGGAGCGAAAGGGAUUAGAUACCCCUGUAGUCCUGGCCGUAAACGAUGAACACUAGAUGUUGGGGGAAUCGACCCCCUCGGUGUCGUAGCUAACGCGUUAAGUGUUCCGCCUGGGGAGUACGCACGCAAGUGUGAAACUCAAAGGAAUUGACGGGGGCCCGCACAAGCGGUGGAGUAUGUGGUUUAAUUCGAUGCAACGCGAAGAACCUUACCAAGGCUUGACAUCCUGCGAAUCUCCAAGAAAUUGGAGAGUGCCUUUUGGAACGCAGUGACAGGUGGUGCAUGGCUGUCGUCAGCUCGUGUCGUGAGAUGUUGGGUUAAGUCCCGCAACGAGCGCAACCCACGUUUUUAGUUGCCAGCAUUCAGUUGGGCACUCUAGAAAGACUGCCGGUGACAAACCGGAGGAAGGUGUGGACGACGUCAAGUCAUCAUGCCCCUUACGCCUUGGGCUACACACGUACUACAAUGCUGCGGACAAAGAGUAGCGAUCUUGCGAAAGUUAGCUAAUCUCGUAAACCGUGGCUCAGUUCAGAUCGUAGGCUGCAACUCGCCUACGUGAAGGAGGAAUCGCUAGUAAUCGCAGGUCAGCAUACUGCGGUGAAUACGUUCCCGGGCCUUGUACACACCGCCCGUCACACCAUGGAAGUUGGCCAUGCCCGAAGUCGUUACUCUAACCUUUUGGAAGAGGGCGCCGAAGGCAGGGCUAAUGACUGGGGUGAAGUCGUAACAAGGUAGCCGUAGCGGAAGCUGCGGCUGGAUCACCUCCUAA